Molecule: non-coding RNA, 156 nt
Organism: Populus trichocarpa (black cottonwood)
Lineage: Eukaryota; Viridiplantae; Streptophyta; Magnoliopsida; Malpighiales; Salicaceae
Source: Rfam
UCUAGAACUCGAGAUAUGGCCUAAACACUGAACAAUGUUUGGGCUGCAGGACAGAUUUGAAAUUCUCCGUUGUUGCUACAAUUUGGACUUAAAAACGGCCUUUUUAAAUCUUGCACUUCCCAUGAAAGUUUUAGGCCUAUGUCUUAGCUUUCCAUC